AUGCAAUUUGUUCUUGCCGAGGAAUACACCCACCAAAAACGAAGUUCCCCUGUUCCCGCGUGUAACAGAGCAUAGCAGGAGCAGAGGCAGAAGAGACCACUGAAGAAGCGUACGCACUUGACCCUUUAAUGGCGCGGGGGAAGGCGAAGAAGAAGGAAGAAGAAGACACUGAAAUCAUAAACCCAGAAACGUUGGAGCGCAAGAAGCUCAAAUCUUUGGCCUUUGCCAACAACAUUCUCUCGGAGACCCCUGCUAGCAGCUCCGUUCUACUCAAACCUUCCUCCGUCGUGGCCAAGCACCACGGCAAAGACAUCAUCAAGAAGUCUCAGAGGAAGAGCAGCAGGUAUCUCUUCUCCUUCCCGGGGCUAAUUGCUCCCCUUGCUGGUGGCAAGAUCGGUGACCUUAAGGAUUUGGGAACCAAAAACCCUGUUCUCUACCUCGAUUUCCCCCAGGGUCAAAUGAAGCUUUUUGGGACCAUUGUAUAUCCAAAGAACAGAUACUUGACUCUACAGUUCCCUAAAGGUGGAAAGAGUGUAAUGUGUGAGGACUAUUUUGAUAACAUGAUUGUAUUUUCGGAUGCAUGGUGGAUUGGGAGGAAAGAUGAAAACCCUGAAGAAGCCAAACUUGAUUUUCCUAAGGAAUUCUAUGAGGGGCAUCAAGCUGAAUAUGACUUUAAAGGGGGUGCCGGUGCAGCUUCUGUAGUCAAUCAAGGGGUUCCUAGAUCCAGGAUUCAACAUGCAGAACCAGAGUCACCAAAGACACCCUCUGAAAAUGAAUUGUCUUACAGUGAACUAAAAUUAGAAGAUACAAAGGAAUCGGGUCCAUCCCGGCAGUCAACAAGAACUGCAGGAAAAUCAUACAAAUUUGCUGAGAUUUCGGCCAGUGAUGAUUCUGGUGAAAACAGCCCUGACAUUUCUGAUCAUGAGGAGAAAGUGGAAGAAGUUGAUACUGCUGUAAAUGAUCAUAAUAGCUCAAAGAAAGAAACUGUAGUUUUUGACCUUGAUAAGGAGGAUGAUGCACUGGGACAUCCACUCAACCAGGAAAAUAAUGAGUCAGUGUCUCAAUCUACUUCAGUCAGUGCAUCUACUAAAGUUAAGUCCAGUAAUCGUGGUUCCCUUGUCCAAGCUACUAUAUCCACAUUAUUCCAGAAAGUGAAUGAAAAGAAGACUACAAGAAAUUCAAGGAAAUCUCCAUCAUCAAAAGCUUCUGGCCAAAAGUUGCAGCCUGCUGGUUCAAAACGAAAGAUUGAUCUGGAUGAAGGACCCAAGAAAAGGGGAAGAAAGCCUAGGAACAAAACUACUGCAUAUAAUCAAAUCAAUGGAGGAAAACGAAGGAUUAUUGCAUGGUGAAAAAAUCAAGGCGAAAAGCAAGCAAUCCGAUGAUGAAGAUGAUGAUGACAUUGAAGAAAUUUCAAAUGCUUCAGAGGAUAAUGGAAGUGAUGAAGAGUGGACUGCUUGACCAUAAUCUAAGUUGUGGUUGCUAGGAACAAGAAAUGACAAGGCAAGGUCAUGCAAGUGAUGUGAUGAUACCCUUUAUUUCUGUCACUAAGAACGUGACAACUUGGAUUUGCUUACCAUGUGGUUUUGAUGGAAUUAUGAGAAUAGGUAUAAUACCAAUAUCAUGAGGUUAAGAGGAAGAGAGAAUAUAAUCUGUUUAAUGUAUACUGUUGAAAGUGAUGUCAUUUAACUCUUUAUCUCAUUUGGGAGUCAUUUGAUGUAUUCUAAUCAAUUUUAAAGUGAUGUCA
This is an RNA transcript of Vigna angularis (adzuki bean), 1744 nucleotides long. It is a transcript of the gene named DNA-binding protein RHL1, with no coding region annotated. NCBI's taxonomy places the organism in Eukaryota, Viridiplantae, Streptophyta, Magnoliopsida, Fabales, Fabaceae. The transcript has 13 exons. The record is from RefSeq and is a predicted model, not a curated record.